RNAcentral lists this long non-coding RNA (439 nucleotides) under Malus domestica (apple). RNAcentral's name for it is "long non-coding RNA (MDOM_LNC003781)". Lineage: Eukaryota; Viridiplantae; Streptophyta; Magnoliopsida; Rosales; Rosaceae. The record is from RNAcentral.
AUGGAGAUGAGUAAGAAUAAUUAAAUGGUUUAAUUAUUUAUGGCAAGGAUUAAUUAAUAUGUUAAUUAAUCAAGCGAAUAAGUUCGUUAAAGACCUCGGGAUAGUUUUGGACCUUAAGGCCCAAUGGGCUUCGAACGUCAAGCCCAUUGACUUAAGUUGUAUGACAACUUAAUUCACAAAAGCCCAAAAGCCCAAACAACACCCUAUGGCCGGCCAUUUAAAGGAAGGGUAGUGAACUUGCUUUAAUUACAAGUUUGCCACUCAAAUGAACAAAGGUAUAAAUAUGACUUUAUAGCCUUUUGUUCAUUAGGGUUUGUUUUGGAGAAAAUUGGUGAGACCUUGUCUCUCCAUUUCUCUCUAAAGAGGCCGGCUACCUUGGGGGGUGCAUCUUGCAAUCCCACUACUCCAAGGUCACUCAUUUCUUCUCCAAUCUCUCCUU